This is a ribosomal RNA of 552 nucleotides. It matches the Rfam family "Bacterial small subunit ribosomal RNA", at positions 9 to 929 of the family's 1533-position model.
ACAGCUUUGGUCCUGGGCUUACCGUUAUUUUUUAUCAAGAUUAUACAUGCAAGCCUCAACAAUCCAGUGAAAAUGCCCAAAACCCCUUAAAAGAUAAAAUGGAGCAGGCAUCAGGCACUAUAAUUUAAGCCCAUAACACCUAGCCAUGCCACACCCCCACGGGCUCACCAGCAGUAAUAAACAUUGGGCCAUAAGUGAAAACUUGACCCAACUAUGAUAAUUUAGGGCUGGUCAAUUUUGUGCCAGCCACCGCGGUUAUACGAAAGGCCCAAAAUAACGACAAACCGGCGUAAAAUGUGACUAGAGAUUAAUAAUAUUCUAAAUAUUAAAAUUCAUCAGCCUAGUUGUAAAACACUAAGGUAACGGAGAAAACCAACACAGAUAUUCUUAAUAUUAUAUUCUUGACCACACGAAAGCUUAGAAACAAACUAGGAUUAGAUACCCUACUAUGCUAAGCCCUGAACAUUGAUAGUUACUCAUACAAGACUUCCCGCCAGAGAACUACAAGUGAAAAACUUGAAACUCAAAGGACUUGACGGUGUCCCAUAUCGA